UGUGAAAGAAAAGAACUGAGUAUGUAAAUUUGUGUUGAGUGAGCGCCAGCAAUCCUGCAGUUUCACCCGACUUAAUUAUAUUAAUAUUUGUUUAAUUGUGAUAAUGAUAAUUCUUGUCUAUCUGAUUGGUUAUUACUAAAUGUUCUGGAACAUUCUAAAAUUUGUCUUAUUCUGAUUGGCUCAACCAAGGUUAAAAUCAAGGUAAACCAGGUUUCUAACUUGUGGUACUUCAAGGGGUCCAGAUUUUUCAGUCCUUCUUGUCAAAAUUUCAACCUCACAGGUCUUCUUAAGGAUGACGAGGAGCUCACGUGGAUUCGAGUGAUUCGUGUCGCAAUGGGGAAAAUUGUUGCAAAAAGGUGAAAGAAUAGAAAUAUAUUGUUACGAAAGAACCAUUAACUAACAUCUCUGUGAAGUGUGUUGCCAUUUAAAAAACAUUUGAACUUUUCACACUAGAGAAAUUUUAAGAGAAAGAAUUUAAUAAAAUAAAAU
Long non-coding RNA from Folsomia candida, 489 nucleotides. RefSeq lists it as uncharacterized. The transcript is spliced from 2 exons. Lineage: Eukaryota; Metazoa; Arthropoda; Collembola; Entomobryomorpha; Isotomidae. The record is from RefSeq and is a predicted model, not a curated record.